AGGUCAAACUAACAACAACCAAUCAGGCAAAUCAAACCAACAGAAAACAAUUUCUAUAGUUUUUAGAUGCAUUAGUAUUGUAUUGUUAGAUGCAUGUGUGAUAAAAAGGGACACUUUGUGUGUGUUGUUUGCAGAGGUAUUUUUUGCAGGUGAAGCACAAUGUGCUUAUUGCCAGGGCAGACCUGAUUCCUCUUUCUUUUAGGAUCAGAUGGUCUCACUGGGGUUGUGGCUGUUGAGGCGGGGCUGGUUGAGGAGGAUGCUGGUGAUGGUGCUCUUUGUGUUGCUGUGGGUGUGGAAGAAGAGCUUGUUGAGCAUAAAGACCACAGAGAGGACUUUACACCUGACACUCAACCUGAAACCUCUCAGCAGCCCACUAACCCAGCACAGCCUUCAGCACAGCCUUCAGCACAGCCCCCAGCACAGCCUUCAGCACAGCCUCUAUGCCGCUUCUAUUCCCAGGGACGCUUUUGCCACUUUGGAAAGAGGUGCCACUUCCUCCACCAGAGGUUCAGCCAUGCUCCUCCUCCACCCCCACAGCAGCAGGCAGAGGAGAGAGAGGAUGGAGCUUCUGAGAAGGAAGGGCGCUCGGCCUCCUCCGACCCGAGAACAGCUCCAUCCAGACCGGUGCGAGCCCAGAGGCCGUGCCGGUACUUCAUGUCCGGGUUCUGCAGUAUGGAGGACCGCUGCCGGUUCUGGCAUCCGCAGAAGUUUCCUCCAGUGGAGGAGCAGCCGGCAGCACCCAGAGACAGCAGCAGUAAUGGAGCGAGACCGGUAUCCAGCCGGCCUCCUACAGUUAAAGAGCAGAUCAGACUGGCUGAUCUAACUGAGGAGCUGAUCAGGAAGCUCCGGGAGACAGAGAUCUCCCAGCUGAAGAAGAGAUUUCCUAAAGACAAGCUCAUCAUUCAGGAGAGAGAGGACGGCCAGCUCACCUACUACCGGCUCACUGUGGAGGCCACAGAUCCUGAAUGGGUAAAACCAUCUCCAAAUAACACAUAAAUAUACUGAAGUUGCAAUAUUUUGUUGCUCUGCGAUUUGUAUUGCAGUAUUUUAAAAACUAUUAUAUUAACAAUUUCCUCUGUGUAUCAAAGAUUUGAGUAAAAUAAUUGGAGAUGCAUCUAAAAGAACAUUUACAUAGUAAAAUAAGCAAAGUUAAAAAUGUUUGUCUAAAAGUCCA
RNAcentral lists this long non-coding RNA (1174 nucleotides) under Astyanax mexicanus (Mexican tetra). RNAcentral's name for it is "lncRNA (ENSAMXG00005002667.1)". Lineage: Eukaryota; Metazoa; Chordata; Actinopteri; Characiformes; Acestrorhamphidae. The record is from RNAcentral.